UUAGCAAGAAGUGUAAUUAGAAAUACAACAAUGGCAACAUUGAUUCCACUGAAACUUGUCCAAACAGGAAGCUCCAAAAUGUCAUCCAAGAAUCAGUCCCUCAAAAAGAAAGAACAGCAAGUUUACUCUUUCGUAACAGCAUAGACAAGGAUACAUUACUAUCUUUUGAGAUUAGAAUCUUGCAAUCAGUUCAGCCAGGAUCAUUGGAAAAACUCCUUGCUUCAUUUCAAAAUGGCUAUAACUGAUCCUCAAUUAAGUCAACCCUACAAAUGUCCCUUUGAUGAUAUUAAGUAAGUGGAAGCAUUUCCUUUUGUUAUCAUCUUCAGUGAAUCCAACCCAAAUCUGCAGAAGUCCUGAGCGCACUUUCUACCAGUUAUCUGCGAUGAAAUAGUGAAAUCAGCAUAUGAUAUGAGCAUAAAAGAUAGGGCAGCCCAUUGAAACUCACUUGUUGCAUUUCAAUAAAAGAGCUAAGAAACCACAGUUUUCAAUACCCGAAAGGAAGCAGCUAUAUAAGGAAUUAUGGUUCAGGGAAGAAGGGUAGAUGAUUCUUCCAUAGUUCCAUUUGUUCCCAAGAAGCUGAAAUUUCCUGAUCACAUAUUUGGCAGUAACAUGGAUUGUUACGGAUGAAUUUCAGUGAAAAGAAAAUUGAUCUUCACUUUUGCUUUUGGGAUUUGAAUAACUAUACAACAUAAAUGCAUUGAGUCAAUCUAUAGCCUUCCCUUUUUCUCUUCUCAUGACUAACAUAUAAAUAAAUUACAAAGAAAAACAUUACCCCAACAUAUAGCUGCCUGCAAUAGUAGAGUUGUCCAUCCACUUUGUGCCAACCCCAACUUAGCUGCUUGCAUUAGUAGUGUUGUCCAUCCAGUUUGUGCCUAUUAGCACCAUGUUAUGUCAUGAAGUUGCAACUCUAACAUUGUGUCUCCUGCAGUGUGAUCAUAAUAUAACAGGAAAUGCUAAAGAUCUGCAACAGUUUGCCUCUGACCACCUUGAAAAAUUAUAUUUACCUUUUUCUUAUCAAUUAAAAAUAGUGACUGAAAACUUAUACAGAAGAUAAAAACAUGUGCAAGCCCAGGCAAAUGUUCCUCAUAUGCUCGCAGCACAGAUUUUUCACAUUUCUUCCUACCUUACUCAAAUCCAUCCAGAUCAUUUUGAUCUCUGUGUAUAUAUGUUGAAAGCAGGCAGGCUCAUGUGCUCACUGUUUGAGUGCUAAACCAUCAUUAAUUUAUUCGAACACAGGGGAUGUGAGAAAUGAUAGGCCAGUAAUCUCUCCCUUUAUCUUUUAAGCAAUGUCUCGCAGUAGAGGGCAGCUGGAAAUAGAUAGUUCUUCAAAUGUAGCAGGGAAGCCCUCAUAUUUGUACCUGCAAUAUCAGAAUUAGAUGGGCUGGAAAACAAGGAUAGAUUCCAAAGAGGAACAGCUUGAAUCAAAUUUAACCAAAAGUUUCAUGCAACAUAAUUUUUGGAAGAAACAGGUCAGUCACUCAAGAGAUGAUCCUGAUUAAUUGUUUAUCUCAAGACGAGGGAUAUGAGAAAUGAAAGGCCAGUAAUCUCCCCCUUUGUCUUUUAAGCAACGGUCUCGCAAUAGAGGGAAGCCCUCAGCUGGGAAGGA
Molecule: unclassified non-coding RNA, 1606 nt
Filed under: Hevea brasiliensis (rubber tree)
Lineage: Eukaryota; Viridiplantae; Streptophyta; Magnoliopsida; Malpighiales; Euphorbiaceae
Source: RNAcentral